This 1015-nucleotide ribosomal RNA is filed under the name Enterococcus faecium. RNAcentral describes it as "bacterial SSU rRNA". It matches the Rfam family "Bacterial small subunit ribosomal RNA", at positions 46 to 1037 of the family's 1533-position model. Lineage: Bacteria; Bacillati; Bacillota; Bacilli; Lactobacillales; Enterococcaceae. The record is from RNAcentral.
GCCGCUAUACAUGCAGUCGUACGCUUCUUUUUCCACCGGAGCUUGCUCCACCGGAAAAAGAAGAGUGGCGAACGGGUGAGUAACACGUGGGUAACCUGCCCAUCAGAAGGGGAUAACACUUGGAAACAGGUGCUAAUACCGUAUAACAAUCGAAACCGCAUGGUUUUGAUUUGAAAGGCGCUUUCGGGUGUCGCUGAUGGAUGGACCCGCGGUGCAUUAGCUAGUUGGUGAGGUAACGGCUCACCAAGGCCACGAUGCAUAGCCGACCUGAGAGGGUGAUCGGCCACAUUGGGACUGAGACACGGCCCAAACUCCUACGGGAGGCAGCAGUAGGGAAUCUUCGGCAAUGGACGAAAGUCUGACCGAGCAACGCCGCGUGAGUGAAGAAGGUUUUCGGAUCGUAAAACUCUGUUGUUAGAGAAGAACAAGGAUGAGAGUAACUGUUCAUCCCUUGACGGUAUCUAACCAGAAAGCCACGGCUAACUACGUGCCAGCAGCCGCGGUAAUACGUAGGUGGCAAGCGUUGUCCGGAUUUAUUGGGCGUAAAGCGAGCGCAGGCGGUUUCUUAAGUCUGAUGUGAAAGCCCCCGGCUCAACCGGGGAGGGUCAUUGGAAACUGGGAGACUUGAGUGCAGAAGAGGAGAGUGGAAUUCCAUGUGUAGCGGUGAAAUGCGUAGAUAUAUGGAGGAACACCAGUGGCGAAGGCGGCUCUCUGGUCUGUAACUGACGCUGAGGCUCGAAAGCGUGGGGAGCAAACAGGAUUAGAUACCCUGGUAGUCCACGCCGUAAACGAUGAGUGCUAAGUGUUGGAGGGUUUCCGCCCUUCAGUGCUGCAGCUAACGCAUUAAGCACUCCGCCUGGGGAGUACGACCGCAAGGUUGAAACUCAAGGAAUUGACGGGGGCCCGCACAAGCGGUGGAGCAUGUGGUUUAAUUCGAAGCAACGCGAAGAACCUUACCAGUCUUGACAUCCUUUGACACUCUAGAGAUAGAGCUUCCCUUCGGGGCAAGUGACAG